Molecule: non-coding RNA, 85 nt
Organism: Buceros rhinoceros silvestris
Lineage: Eukaryota; Metazoa; Chordata; Aves; Bucerotiformes; Bucerotidae
Source: Rfam
ACUCCAGUUCUUGGCAGGCCCCGGCCGCUCCGUGCCCGGGUCUGUGAUGUCCGGAGGUAGAGCAGCAACUCUUUCACGGGCACCC